This 403-nucleotide ribosomal RNA is filed under the name uncultured bacterium. RNAcentral's name for it is "bacterial SSU rRNA". It matches the Rfam family "Bacterial small subunit ribosomal RNA", at positions 355 to 776 of the family's 1533-position model. The record is from RNAcentral.
UGGGGAAUAUUGCGCAAUGGGGGGAACCCUGACGCAGCAACGCCGCGUGAAGGAAGAAGGUUUUCGGAUUGUAAACUUCAGCAAACAGGGAAGAAAAGGACAGUACCUGAUUGGAAGCCACGGCUAACUACGUGCCAGCAGCCGCGGUAAUACGUAGGUGGCAAGCGUUGUCCGGAUUUACUGGGUGUAAAGGGCGUGUAGACGGUUAAAUAAGUCAGUGGUGAAAUACCCGGGCUCAACCCGGGAACUGCCAUUGAAACUGUAUAACUUGAGUGCAGGAGAGGAAAGCGGAAUUCCUAGUGUAGCGGUGAAAUGCGUAGAUAUUAGGAGGAACACCAGUGGCGAAGGCGGCUUUCUGGACUGUAACUGACGUUGAGGCGCGAAAGCGUGGGGAGCAAACAGG